GACAUGAAGAGGAAGAAAAGGUGACUUAAGAGCAGUGGGCAUGGGAACAUGAUGGAAGGCUAAAGCCCUUGUUCCCCGUCUAACACUAGAGGAGGCUUUGGUUUGAGUUUUUCUGAUGCCUUCCAUGCCUAUUGUUCUUUGGUGCCCCUUCCUCUUCCUUUUGGAU
Molecule: non-coding RNA, 166 nt
Organism: Triticum aestivum (bread wheat)
Lineage: Eukaryota; Viridiplantae; Streptophyta; Magnoliopsida; Poales; Poaceae
Source: Rfam